AACGAACGCUGGCGGCGUGGAUAAGACAUGCAAGUCGAACGCUGAUUGUGGGGUAGCAAUAUUCUGCAGUCGGAGUGGCGAAAGGGUGCGUAACACGUGGGUCAUUUGCCGUGAAGUUGGGGACAACUCGCUGAAAGGCGAGCUAAUACCGAAUGUGGCUGUAAAGCUAAAGUUGGGGACCGCAAGGCCUGACGCUUCACGAUAAGCCCGCGGCCUAUCAGCAGUUGGUGAGGUAACGGCUCACCAAGGCUAAGACGGGUAGCUGGUCUGAGAGGACGACCAGCCUCACUGGAACUGAGACACGGUCCAGACACCUACGGGUGGCAGCAGUCGAGAAUUUUUC
Molecule: ribosomal RNA, 343 nt
Filed under: uncultured bacterium
Lineage: Bacteria
Description: bacterial SSU rRNA
Rfam family: Bacterial small subunit ribosomal RNA
Source: RNAcentral